AAAACGACUCUCGGCAACGGAUAUCUCGGCUCWCGCAUCGAUGAAGAACGUAGCGAAAUGCGAUACUUGGUGUGAAUUGCAGAAUCCCGUGAACCAUCGWGUCUUUGAACGCAAGUUGCGCCCUAAGCCAUUUGGCCGAGGGCACGUCYGCMUGGGCGUCAAU
Molecule: ribosomal RNA, 163 nt
Filed under: Camissonia benitensis
Lineage: Eukaryota; Viridiplantae; Streptophyta; Magnoliopsida; Myrtales; Onagraceae
Description: 5.8S ribosomal RNA
Rfam family: 5.8S ribosomal RNA
About the family: 5.8S ribosomal RNA (5.8S rRNA) is a component of the large subunit of the eukaryotic ribosome. It is transcribed by RNA polymerase I as part of the 45S precursor that also contains 18S and 28S rRNA.
Source: RNAcentral